CCCGAGCGUUGUCCGGGAUUUAUUGGGCGUAAAGCGAGCGCAGGCGGUUUGAUAAGUCUGAAGUUAAAAGGCUGUGGCUCAACCAUAGUUCGCUUUGGAAACUGUCAAACUUGAGUGCAGAAGGGGAGAGUGGAAUUCCAUGUGUAGCGGUGAAAUGCGUAGAUAUAUGGAGGAACACCGGUGGCGAAAGCGGCUCUCUGGUCUGUAACUGACGCUGAGGCUCGAAAGCGUGGGGAGCGA
This 240-nucleotide ribosomal RNA is filed under the name uncultured bacterium. RNAcentral describes it as "partial 16S ribosomal RNA". It matches the Rfam family "Bacterial small subunit ribosomal RNA", at positions 533 to 771 of the family's 1533-position model. The record is from RNAcentral.